This 1341-nucleotide ribosomal RNA is filed under the name metagenome. Its description in RNAcentral is "bacterial LSU rRNA". It matches the Rfam family "Bacterial large subunit ribosomal RNA", at positions 1572 to 2925 of the family's 2925-position model. The record is from RNAcentral.
AGCUUCUACGGAAGCGAAGUUGGUGACGUCAAGCUUCCAAGAAAAGCCCUAUACCCGUUAAGGCAUGAUUACCUGUACCCGAAACCGACACAGGUGGGGUGGUAGAGAAUACCGAGGGGCGCGAGGUAACUCUCUCUAAGGAACUCGGCAAAAUGACCCCGUAACUUCGGGAGAAGGGGUGCCAGCGCGAGCUGGUCGCAGUGAAUAGGCCCAGGCGACUGUUUACCAAAAACACAGGUCUCCGCUAAGUCGCAAGACGAUGUAUGGGGGCUGACGCCUGCCCAGUGCCGGAAGGUUAAAGAAGUUGGUCAGCGCAAGCGAAGCUAACGACUGAAGCCCCGGUGAACGGCGGCCGUAACAAUAACGGUCCUAAGGUAGCGAAAUUCCUUGUCGGGUAAGUUCCGACCCGCACGAAAGGCGUAACGAUCUGGGCGCUGUCUCGGAGAGAGGCUCGGCGAAAUAGAAUUGUCUGUGAAGAUGCGGACUACGUGCACCCGGACAGAAAGACCCUAUGAAGCUUUACUGUAGCUUGGUAUUGUGCUCGGGCUCGCAAUGCGCAGGAUAGGUGGGAGGCUUUGAUCCAUUGCUUGUGGGUGAUGGUGAGCCACUGGUGAGAUACCACUCUUUGCGAGCUAGGGUUCUAACGGUUACCCGUCAUCCGGGAACCGGACAGUAUCUGGUGGGCAGUUUGACUGGGGCGGUCGCCUCCUAAAAGGUAACGGAGGCGCGCAAAGGUUUGCUCAGGCUGGUUGGAAAUCAGCCGACGAGUGUAAAAGCAGAAGCAAGCUUGACUGUGAGACCUACAAGUCGAACAGGGAGGAAACUCGGCUUUAGUGAUCCGACGGUUCUGAGUGGAAGGGCCGUCGCUCAACGGAUAAAAGUUACUCUAGGAUAACAGGCUGAUCUCCCCCAAGAGUUCACAUCGACGGGGAGGUUUGGCACCUCGAUGUCGGCUCAUCGCAACCUGGGGCUGAAGUCGGUCCCAAGGGUUGGGCUGUUCGCCCAUUAAAGCGGUACGCGAGCUGGGUUCAGAACGUCGUGAGACAGUUCGGUCCAUAUCCGGUGCAUGCGCAGGAAUAUUGAGAGGAUUUCUCCCUAGUACGAGAGGACCGGGAGGAACGCACCUCUGGUGUACCAGUUAUCGUGCCAACGGUAAACGCUGGGUAGCCAUGUGCGGAGUGGAUAACCGCUGAAAGCAUCUAAGUGGGAAGCCCACCUCAAGAUGAGUAUUCCCAUGGCUUAAGCCAGUAAGGUCACGGGAAGAACACCCGUUGAUAGGCUCUAUGUGGAAGCGCAGUAAUGCGUGAAGCAGAGGAGUACUAAUAGACCGAGGGCUUGACC